This 253-nucleotide ribosomal RNA is filed under the name uncultured bacterium. Its description in RNAcentral is "partial 16S ribosomal RNA". It matches the Rfam family "Bacterial small subunit ribosomal RNA", at positions 524 to 776 of the family's 1533-position model. The record is from RNAcentral.
UACGAAGGGGGCUAGCGUUGCUCGGAAUUACUGGGCGUAAAGCGCACGUAGGCGGAUUGUUAAGUCGGGGGUGAAAUCCUGGAGCUCAACUCCAGAACUGCCUUCGAUACUGGCGAUCUCGAGUUCGGGAGAGGUGAGUGGAACUGCGAGUGUAGAGGUGAAAUUCGUAGAUAUUCGCAAGAACACCAAUAGCGAAGGCAGCUCGCUGGGACGGUACUGACGCUGAGGCGCGAAAGCGUGGGGAGCGAACAGG